UUUAUGGAGAGUUUGAUCCUGGCUCAGGAUGAACGCUGGCGGCGUGCCUAAUACAUGCAAGUCGAGCGAACAGAUAAGGAGCUUGCUCCUUUGACGUUAGCGGCGGACGGGUGAGUAACACGUGGGUAACCUACCUAUAAGACUGGAAUAACUCCGGGAAACCGGGGCUAAUGCCGGAUAACAUGUUGAACCGCAUGGUUCUACAGUGAAAGACGGUCUUGCUGUCACUUAUAGAUGGACCCGCGCCGUAUUAGCUAGUUGGUGGGGUAACGGCCUACCAAGGCGACGAUACGUAGCCGACCUGAGAGGGUGAUCGGCCACACUGGAACUGAGACACGGUCCAGACUCCUACGGGAGGCAGCAGUAGGGAAUCUUCCGCAAUGGGCGAAAGCCUGACGGAGCAACGCCGCGUGAGUGAUGAAGGUCUUCGGAUCGUAAAGCUCUGUUGUUAGGGAAGAACAAAUGUGUAAGUAACUGUGCACAUCUUGACGGUACCUAACCAGAAAGCCACGGCUAACUACGUGCCAGCAGCCGCGGUAAUACGUAGGUGGCAAGCGUUAUCCGGAAUUAUUGGGCGUAAAGCGCGCGUAGGCGGUUUUUUAAGUCUGAUGUGAAAGCCCACGGCUCAACCGUGGAGGGUCAUUGGAAACUGGAAAACUUGAGUGCAGAAGAGGAAAGUGGAAUUCCAUGUGUAGCGGU
RNAcentral lists this ribosomal RNA (699 nucleotides) under Staphylococcus pseudintermedius. Its description in RNAcentral is "bacterial SSU rRNA". It matches the Rfam family "Bacterial small subunit ribosomal RNA", at positions 1 to 682 of the family's 1533-position model. Lineage: Bacteria; Bacillati; Bacillota; Bacilli; Caryophanales; Staphylococcaceae. The record is from RNAcentral.